This 492-nucleotide ribosomal RNA is filed under the name uncultured bacterium. RNAcentral describes it as "partial 16S ribosomal RNA". It matches the Rfam family "Bacterial small subunit ribosomal RNA", at positions 29 to 507 of the family's 1533-position model. The record is from RNAcentral.
AGUGAACGCUGGCGGUAGGCCUAACACAUGCAAGUCGAACGGCAGCACAGUAAGAGCUUGCUCUUACGGGUGGCGAGUGGCGGACGGGUGAGGAAUACAUCGGAAUCUACUUUUUCGUGGGGGAUAACGUAGGGAAACUUACGCUAAUACCGCAUACGACCUACGGGUGAAAGCAGGGGAUCUUCGGACCUUGCGCGAUUGAAUGAGCCGAUGUCGGAUUAGCUAGUUGGCGGGGUAAAGGCCCACCAAGGCGACGAUUCGUAGCUGGUCUGAGAGGAUGAUCAGCCACACUGGAACUGAGACACGGUCCAGACUCCUACGGGAGGCAGCAGUGGGGAAUAUUGGACAAUGGGCGCAAGCCUGAUCCAGCCAUACCGCGUGGGUGAAGAAGGCCUUCUGGUUGUAAAGCCCUUUUGUUGGGAAAGAAAAGCAGCAGGUUAAUACCCCGCUGUUCUGACGGUACCCAAAGAAUAAGCACCGGCUAACUUCGUG